Molecule: ribosomal RNA, 253 nt
Filed under: uncultured bacterium
Lineage: Bacteria
Description: partial 16S ribosomal RNA
Rfam family: Bacterial small subunit ribosomal RNA
Source: RNAcentral
UACAGAGGUCUCAAGCGUUGUUCGGAUUCAUUGGGCGUAAAGGGUGCGUAGGCGGCGCGGUAAGUCGGGUGUGAAAUCUCGGAGCUUAACUCCGAAACUGCAUUCGAUACUGCCGUGCUUGAGGACUGGAGAGGAGACUGGAAUUUACGGUGUAGCGGUGAAAUUCGUAGAUAUCGGGAGGAACACCGGUGGCGAAGGCGGCGACCUGGGUCGAGACUGACGCUGAGGCGCGAAAGCGUGGGGAGCAAACAGG